This 72-nucleotide transfer RNA is filed under the name Heteropolygonatum ginfushanicum. RNAcentral's name for it is "tRNA-Gln". It matches the Rfam family "tRNA". From Rfam's summary of the family: Transfer RNA (tRNA) molecules are approximately 80 nucleotides in length. RNAcentral also lists the same sequence under 1 other name. The record is from RNAcentral. Lineage: Eukaryota; Viridiplantae; Streptophyta; Magnoliopsida; Asparagales; Asparagaceae.
AUGGGGCGUGGCCAAGUGGUAAGGCAACGGGUUUUGGUCCCGCUAUUCGGAGGUUCGAAUCCUUCCGUCCCA